AAGGGGUGAGUAAUGUAUCGGAACGUGCCCAGUAGCGGGGGAUAACUACGCGAAAGCGUAGCUAAUACCGCAUACGCCCUACGGGGGAAAGCAGGGGAUCUUCGGACCUUGCACUAUUGGAGCGGCCGAUAUCGGAUUAGCUAGUUGGUGGGGUAACGGCCUACCAAGGCGACGAUCCGUAGCUGGUUUGAGAGGACGACCAGCCACACUGGGACUGAGACACGGCCCAGACUCCUACGGGAGGCAGCAGUGGGGAAUUUUGGACAAUGGGGGAAACCCUGAUCCAGCCAUCCCGCGUGUGCGAUGAAGGCCUUCGGGUUGUAAAGCACUUUUGGCAGGAAAGAAACGUCGCGGGCUAAUACCUCGCGAAACUGACGGUACCUGCAGAAUAAGCACCGGCUAACUACGUGCCAGCAGCCGCGGUAAUACGUAGGGUGCAAGCGUUAAUCGGAAUUACUGGGCGUAAAGCGUGCGCAGGCGGUUCGGAAAGAAAGAUGUGAAAUCCCAGAGCUUAACUUUGGAACUGCAUUUUUAACUACCGGGCUAGAGUGUGUCAGAGGGAGGUGGAAUUCCGCGUGUAGCAAUGAAAUGCGUAGAUAU
This 600-nucleotide ribosomal RNA is filed under the name Achromobacter sp. Cd8. RNAcentral's name for it is "bacterial SSU rRNA". It matches the Rfam family "Bacterial small subunit ribosomal RNA", at positions 101 to 697 of the family's 1533-position model. Lineage: Bacteria; Pseudomonadati; Pseudomonadota; Betaproteobacteria; Burkholderiales; Alcaligenaceae. The record is from RNAcentral.